Molecule: ribosomal RNA, 497 nt
Filed under: uncultured bacterium
Lineage: Bacteria
Description: partial 16S ribosomal RNA
Rfam family: Bacterial small subunit ribosomal RNA
Source: RNAcentral
GAUGAACGCUGGCGGCGUGCCUAAUACAUGCAAGUCGAGCGAACAGACGCGGAGCUUGCUCCUCUGACGUUAGCGGCGGACGGGAGAGUCACACGUGUAUCACCUCCCUAUCUGUCUGGGAUAACUUCGGGAAACCGGAGCUAAUACCGGAUAAUAUAUUGAACCGCAUGGUUCAAUAGUGAAAUACGGUUUUGCUGUCACUUCUCGCUGGAUCCGGGCGGUAUUAGCUAGUUGGUAAGGUAACGGCGUAUCACGGCAACCAUGCGUAGACGAACUGAGGGGGGGGUCGGCGACAUGGGAACUGAGACACGGUCAAGACUCCUACGGUAGGCAGCAGUAGGGAAUCUGACGCAAUGGGCGAAAGCUUGACGGAGCAACGCCGCGUGAGUGAUGAAGGUCUUCGGAUCGUAAAACUCUGUUAUUAGGGAAGAACAAAUGUGUAAGUAACUAUGCACGUCUUGACGGUACCUAAUCAGAAAGCCACGGCUAACUACGUG